GGAAAAUGAAGUAAAAUGUAAAAUGAAGGAUUUCUAUGAUUGGGUGAUGUAUCUGAAUUUGUUGUUUGUAUGAAGAUCAGAAAUGAAGAGCAUAAAUGUGACCUAAGAACUUAAAUUUACUGUAUGAGAUACUUUAAGAUGAAUAUGGAUGAUUAGUGGUUAAUCCUCAAAGAAUGUGAUAGUAAAAUGUGGCUGAGGUAUUUGACUUCAGGGUAAAGCCCAUUCUUUAUCUAUCCUAUUUAGCUUGCUAAAACACAGGGUCUAUCCCCACAGAAAAAGCCUUAAGCAUUUUCUAACUUUCUUCACAAACUUAAAGGGAUAGUUCACCCAAAAAUGAAAAUUUGAUGUUUAUCUGCUUACCCCCAGAGCAUCCAAGAUGUAGGUGUCUUUGUUUCUUCAGUAGAACACAAAUUAUGAUUUUUAACUCCAAUCGUUGCUGUCUGUCAGUCAAAUAAUGCUACACUCAAAAAAAUUAUUCUUGCCACUAUUUGAAAUUAAGCAAAAAAAUCUAAUAAAACAUAUUUAAAAACUAAUAAAAAUACCUAUUAUUACUCCAAAUUACUUUUAUACAACAUGAAAGAAAUGGAUACAAGACCAACCUGAUCAAAUUACAUAAACUAUACUUAAUUUGUUGCCAUAAGGCGCAAAUGCAAGUGUUGCGCAAGCUCACUGAAGUCUGAGUUCAAAAAACAACAACUGAAGGCACAAUGGCGAUCUACUGCCUGACUCAGCGAAAAGGAGGAUUUGGAUGAAUAGAUGUGGAUGUUUUACAAGAAACCUCAUCAGUGGGACAAUAACUCAAUUAUGAUAUGUGAGUUUUGUGGAAACGUAAAGUGUGUGGAAGAAGCAUCACAGAAGUAUCCAAUAUGUUUAAGUAAUUGAAACAAGAUUAAACUUGGACAUUUUGAGGAGAGAUUCAGUCAACCUGUUCACAGUAAAUUUAAGUAAGUGUUUUUGUUAUUUACAUUUACAUUAGAUUUUUUUUUUGUAAAUUACUAUAGUUUCCGCUACAGUAGGCCUCCAUCUCUUCCUUCUUCCUUUUUUCCUCUCAGAUAAAAGCAGAAUUAAUGCGGAUAACGACUGUGCCACUUCUGUCAACGUUCAUAGCAGCUGGACAGAUACACUGUUGAUCAAAUUAAAGUUUUCAGCAGCAAAGGAGCUUCUGGACAAAAGAUAUCACACACAUUGCAGUUGCAGACAAGGCUAUAAUCAAUCAGUAUCUGACCUCAGAUAGACUGCAACACAACUACCACUUUAAAGGCCCAGAAAGGUAGUAAAGACAUUGUUAAAAUAGUCAAUGUGACUGCAGUGGUUCAACCUUAAUGUUAUGAAGUGACAAGAAAACUAUUUGAGCGCAAAAAAAAAAAAAAAAAAACGACUUUCUUCCCUUUUAUGUCAGUCUCCUACGCAGCUGAGGUUGUACACACAUAAUAUCUUAAUUUGUGUUCUGAAGAUUAAUGAAGGUCUUAGGGGUUUGGAGCAAAAUUAGGAUGAGUAAUUACUGAAAGAAAUUUAAUUUUUGGGUGAACUAACCCUUUAACAGAGAUGUUAGCCCUUGUGCUAUUCCUUGUCCAGGAAGUUAACUUGUGAGUAGGACACUUGGGCUGCUGAAUGUCUAAAUGCUGAAAUGUGACAGAUAACAGAAAACCUGUUAUAUGUAAAGUCAAAUAUAAUCCCUCAAAUUGCUUUUCUUUUUUCCCCAAGUGUCCUGAUUGUUGUUGUUUUUUUGUUGUUUUUUUACACGUUUACAAGGAAUGUAACCAUUUACUGUUAUGUUUCAAGUUUCAGACAAGCAAAAGCACAAACUGACUACCAUACUAUGCAGAGAGAUCCCAAUGUUACCUUGAAUAUAUGAAAAUAAUGCUUGAUGUUGAAAUUUGGUUCCUUGUUGAUCUAUGAACUUUUUGGCACACAGACCUAAAUCUAAAAAGUCAAACAAGGAGCCAUAACCAUUGUGUUAGUUUCGGAGAAAGCAUAAAACUGCUGUAAACAGUUGUCUUAACUUGUGAAAUACUGCAUUAUGUUCUAUUUUUUGUAAGAUUGGAUGUUUCUUAUUAUUCCUGCAGCAAUUGAGACAAUAAAUUUAACAUGUAAUGUAACAUGUGUUUGACCAUUUAUUUAAUAUAAAUAAAUUAAUUUAAGGUAGUUAUAUAAAGCAAGUAAGAAUAAGUUAUAUUAAAAGAGUAAGUUUUAUGUAUUACACAAGCUUAAAUUGCAGUUUAUCAGUUAACAUAACCUUUAUUUAAUUAAUUCAAGUCAACUGAACAUGAUGGGGAAGCUUAAGUAAAAGUUAACUUUUUUACAUUGGAUUUAUGUGAUUAAAAUGGAUGGAAAUUUUGUAUGCAAUUGAAUUACAUAAGUUUUAAUUUUUGGGGUUAAAUAUUUUUUUGAGUGUAGUGGAUGAGAACUUCUACAACAACAGUAAAUAAAACUUGCUUAGACAAGUCCAAAUUAAACCCUGCGGCUCGUGAC
This is a long non-coding RNA of Megalobrama amblycephala (Wuchang bream), 2472 nucleotides long. RefSeq lists it as uncharacterized. The transcript is spliced from 3 exons. Lineage: Eukaryota; Metazoa; Chordata; Actinopteri; Cypriniformes; Xenocyprididae. The record is from RefSeq and is a predicted model, not a curated record.